This 1442-nucleotide ribosomal RNA is filed under the name metagenome. RNAcentral describes it as "bacterial SSU rRNA". It matches the Rfam family "Bacterial small subunit ribosomal RNA". The record is from RNAcentral.
AGAGUUUGAUCCUGGCUCUGGAUGAACGCUGGCGGCGUGCUUAACACAUGCAAGUCGAACGAACCUUCGGGUUAGUGGCGGACGGGUGAGUAACGCGUGAGAAUCUGCCCUCAGGAGGGGGAUAACGGCUGGAAACGGCCGCUAAUACCCCAUAUGCCGAGAGGUGAAAUGAAUUUCGCCUGAGGAUGAGCUCGCGUCUGAUUAGCUAGUUGGUAGGGUAAAGGCCUACCAAGGCGACGAUCAGUAGCUGGUCUGAGAGGAUGAUCAGCCACACUGGGACUGAGACACGGCCCAGACUCCUACGGGAGGCAGCAGUGGGGAAUUUUCCGCAAUGGGCGAAAGCCUGACGGAGCAACGCCGCGUGAGGGAUGAAGGCCUCUGGGCUGUAAACCUCUUUCAUCAAGGAAGAAGAUCUGACGGUACUUGAUGAAUAAGCCACGGCUAAUUCCGUGCCAGCAGCCGCGGUAAUACGGGAGUGGCAAGCGUUAUCCGGAAUUAUUGGGCGUAAAGCGUCCGCAGGCGGUCUUGAAAGUCUGUUGUUAAAGCGUGGAGCUUAACUCCAUUUCAGCAAUGGAAACUACAAGACUUGAGUGUGGUAGGGGCAGAGGGAAUUCCCGGUGUAGCGGUGAAAUGCGUAGAUAUCGGGAAGAACACCAGUGGCGAAGGCGCUCUGCUGGGCCAUAACUGACGCUCAUGGACGAAAGCCAGGGGAGCGAAAGGGAUUAGAUACCCCUGUAGUCCUGGCCGUAAACGAUGAACACUAGGUGUCGGGGGAAUCGACCCCCUCGGUGUCGUAGCCAACGCGUUAAGUGUUCCGCCUGGGGAGUACGCACGCAAGUGUGAAACUCAAAGGAAUUGACGGGGGCCCGCACAAGCGGUGGAGUAUGUGGUUUAAUUCGAUGCAACGCGAAGAACCUUACCAGGGUUUACAUCCUGCGAAUCCCUUGGAAACUUGGGAGUGCCUUCGGGAGCGCAGUGACAGGUGGUGCAUGGCUGUCGUCAGCUCGUGUCGUGAGAUGUUGGGUUAAGUCCCGCAACGAGCGCAACCCACGUCUUUAGUUGCCAGCAUUCAGUUGGGCACUCUAGAGAGACCGCCGGUGAUAAACCGGAGGAAGGUGUGGAUGACGUCAAGUCAUCAUGCCCCUUACAUCCUGGGCUACACACGUACUACAAUGCUACGGACAAAGGGCAGCAAACUCGCGAGAGCUAGCAAAUCCCAUAAACCGUGGCUCAGUUCAGAUCGUAGGCUGCAACUCGCCUACGUGAAGGAGGAAUCGCUAGUAAUCGCAGGUCAGCAUACUGCGGUGAAUACGUUCCCGGGCCUUGUACACACCGCCCGUCACACCAUGGAAGUUGGCCACGCCCGAAGUCGUUACUCCAACCCUUGUGGAGGAGGAUGCCGAAGGUGGGGCUGAUGACUGGGGUGAAGUCGAAACAAGGUA